GACGAACGCUGGCGGCGUGCUUAACACAUGCAAGUCGAACGGAAAGGCCCUGCUUUUGUGGGGUGCUCGAGUGGCGAACGGGUGAGUAACACGUGAGUAACCUGCCCUUUACUUUGGGAUAACUUCAGGAAACUGGGGCUAAUACCGGAUAGGAGCUCCUGCUGCAUGGUGGGGGUUGGAAAGUUUCGGCGGUUGGGGAUGGACUCGCGGCUUAUCAGCUUGUUGGUGGGGUAGUGGCUUAACAAGGCUUUGACGGGUAGCCGGCAUGAGAGGGUGACCGGCGACAUUGGGACUGAGGUACGGCCCAGACUCCUACGGGAGGCAGCAGUGGGGAAUAUUGCACAAUGGGCGGAAGCCUGAUGCAGCAACGCCGCGUGCGGGAUGACGGCCUUCGGGUUGUAAACCGCUUUCGCCUGUGACGAAGCGUGAGUGACGGUAAUGGGUAAAGAAGCACCGGCUAACUACGUG
Molecule: ribosomal RNA, 468 nt
Filed under: uncultured bacterium
Lineage: Bacteria
Description: partial 16S ribosomal RNA
Rfam family: Bacterial small subunit ribosomal RNA
Source: RNAcentral